This 484-nucleotide ribosomal RNA is filed under the name uncultured bacterium. Its description in RNAcentral is "partial 16S ribosomal RNA". It matches the Rfam family "Bacterial small subunit ribosomal RNA", at positions 30 to 507 of the family's 1533-position model. The record is from RNAcentral.
AUUGAACGCUGGCGGCAGGCCUAACACAUGCAAGUCGAGCGGAUGAAGGGAGCUUGCUCCUGGAUUCAGCGGCGGACGGGUGAGUAAUGCCUAGGAAUCUGCCUGGUAGUGGGGGAUAGCGUCCGGAAACGGGCGCUAAUACCGCAUACGUCCUGAGGGAGAAAGUGGGGGAUCUUCGGACCUCACGCUAUCAGAUGAGCCUAGGUCGGAUUAGCUAGUUGGUGGGGUAAGGGCCUACCAAGGCGACGAUCCGUAACUGGUCUGAGAGGAUGAUCAGUCACACUGGAACUGAGACACGGUCCAGACUCCUACGGGAGGCAGCAGUGGGGAAUAUUGGACAAUGGGCGAAAGCCUGAUCCAGCCAUGCCGCGUGUGUGAAGAAGGUCUUCGGAUUGUAAAGCACUUUAAGUUGGGAGGAAGGGCAGUAAGUUAAUACCUUGCUGUUUUGACGUUACCAACAGAAUAAGCACCGGCUAACUUCGUG